UGGAAGACUUGUGAUUUUGUUGUUUCCAGUGUCAGGGAAGCGAACAACAAAUCCCAGUCUCCUCA
RNAcentral lists this microRNA precursor (65 nucleotides) under Chrysemys picta bellii (western painted turtle). Its description in RNAcentral is "Cpi-Mir-7-P3_pre stem-loop". Lineage: Eukaryota; Metazoa; Chordata; Testudines; Emydidae. The record is from RNAcentral.